This 104-nucleotide unclassified non-coding RNA is filed under the name uncultured Basidiomycota. Its description in RNAcentral is "sequence contains ITS1". Lineage: Eukaryota; Fungi; Basidiomycota. The record is from RNAcentral.
AUGAAUGGCUCUUCGGAGCUUUAAAUCCAUUAUACACCUGUGAACUGUGGCUUCGGCCUCUUUACACUCUUAUCUGUAUGAAUGUAAUAUGACAUAACAAAACA